Molecule: small nuclear RNA, 320 nt
Filed under: Pongo abelii (Sumatran orangutan)
Lineage: Eukaryota; Metazoa; Chordata; Mammalia; Primates; Hominidae
Description: 7SK RNA
Rfam family: 7SK RNA
About the family: 7SK was discovered as an abundant small nuclear RNA in the mid-70s but a possible function has only recently been suggested. Two independent studies have found that 7SK RNA binds the CDK9/cyclin T complex (known as elongation factor P-TEFb). P-TEFb activates transcription by phosphorylating the C-terminal domain of RNA polymerase II.
Source: Rfam by way of RNAcentral
UGAUAUGAGGGCGAUCUGGCUGUGACGUCUGUCACCCCACCGAUGGCCAGGGUUGAUUCGGCUGAUCUGGCUGCCUAAGCUCAUGUCCCCUUCUUCCCUCACUGCUCCACGUGCAUCGCUCCCAAAGCUGCGCGCUAGAUCAAAGAAGACGAACUUCCCCGAUAGAGAAGGACCAUUCUUCAGUCAAGGGUAUAUGAGUAGCUAUGCUCUCCAGGUAGAACCUCCAAACAGGCCCUCAAAUUACCCCAAAACUAAUAGGCAUACAACAACAAACACUUAUCAGCUCACAUUUUCUGAGGGUCAGGAAAGUGAGUGUGGCU